CCUACGGGUGGCUGCAGUAGGGAAUCUUCCACAAUGGGCGCAAGCCUGAUGGAGCAACACCGCGUGAGUGAAGAAGGGUUUCGGCUCGUAAAGCUCUGUUGUUGGAGAAGAACGUGCGUGAGAGUGACUGUUCACGCAUUGACGGUAUCCAACCAGAAAGGCACGGCUAACUUCGUGCCAGCAGCCGCGGUAAUACGUAGGUGGCCAGCGUUUUCCGGAUUUAUUGGGGGUAAAGGGGGCGCAGGGGGGUGGUUAGGUCUGAGGGGAAAGCCUUCGGCUUAACCGAAGAAGUGCAUCGGAAACGGGGCGACUUGAGUGCAGGAGAGGAGAGUGGAAGUCCAUGUGUAGCGGUGGAAUGCGUAGAUAUAUGGAAGAACACCGGUGGCGAAGGCGGCUGUCUGGUCUGCAACUGACGCUGAGGCUCGAAAGCGUGGGGAGCGAACAGGAUUAGAUACCCGAGUAGUC
RNAcentral lists this ribosomal RNA (465 nucleotides) under uncultured bacterium. Its description in RNAcentral is "partial 16S ribosomal RNA". It matches the Rfam family "Bacterial small subunit ribosomal RNA", at positions 338 to 795 of the family's 1533-position model. The record is from RNAcentral.